CAUAUCACCACACAAACUCCUUAACACAACAACACACACACAAACUAAACAGUUUACAACACAAAGAACACAAACCAACAACACAUUAAUUAACAUUAAGAUGAGAGAAACCCCAAAACACCAAAUCAUCAAGCCGUUCAUUAGUAGGACAAUUCCCACCAUGAACCAACAAACCUUCCUCACCAUCCUUAACAGCUUUAGUAAACGCACACCAACCUCGUUGGCUCGGUUUCUCCUCCUCAUUCCCACACACAAUCCUCUCCCACACUAACGUCUCAGUAUCAAGCUUGUAAACCUCACCACACAUCU
Molecule: long non-coding RNA, 309 nt
Filed under: Capsella rubella
Lineage: Eukaryota; Viridiplantae; Streptophyta; Magnoliopsida; Brassicales; Brassicaceae
Description: long non-coding RNA (CRUB_LNC000950)
Source: RNAcentral